CGAAAGAUGAUGCGGGAUGCCAGCGCCCUUCGGAGCGGUGAUUUGUGCGUUUCCGGGUGUGUGUUCAUUGCUCAGGUGCAGUGAGAGUAGAGUUACCUCUUGCACUGGCUUGUCUCCUCUGUGCCUGUCCUAGGAAGAUUUUUCAGGAUAGCGGCGUUUAAAAAAGUGUAAAGAGCUUGGACUGAAAAAGAGAAAAACCCACAAAUAUUGGCUGUUUCUUAAAACUGUUUGAAUUUUCAGGACUCCGUUUAAAUUUGGGUUAGAAAUAUUUAUACGUAAAGUAACACAAAAGAAAAGAUUCUGUUUUCUUAAGUAGUGUCAAAACUGGUCAAAGAUAAUUGAAGAGUAAAAAGAAUAUGUGGGAAAGAUGGAGAAAAUAACAAGGACAAAGACAGCAGCCAGUCUGUCUCAGGAGGGUCAAUUGAAUUUGUACAGAGGCUAAGCUGGUAAAUAUCAUAUACCUACAAUUUGGAGAUGCAGAUUCUUCAGUUCAGACUCUGUGACCUGCAAGCAAUCAUCUUAAUUUUUCUGUUUGCAUGCGAAAGGAUUUAAGAUAAGACUGAGAUACAUGUAGAAAAUAAUAUUUUGGCAAACCAUAUCAUGUAACACAAAAUACCUGUAAGCAGAAAACAUUAUUGCCAUAAAAUUAAAGAACUGAAACACGAGAAAACACUUUUCAGAAGAUAUUUUUUUUAAUUUCCAGUUUCAGUUUCACUGCUACCUGCAGCAGUGGAGGAGAAAGCUGACAUAUUGGGGCACAGCCUUGUGCUGAUGCAGUUACAGGGCUGGGCCAGCCUAAGUGCAUCAGGGAGUCUGGUGCCCCAGACUCCCCUUUCACAGAAUGAUUGAGGUUGGAAGGAACCUCUGGAGAUCGCCUAGUCCAACCCACCUGCUAAAGCAGGUACACCCAGAGAAGAUUGCACAGGAAUGUGUCCGGGUUGGCCUUGAAUGUCUCCAAAGAAGAAGACUCCACAACCUCUCUGGGCAGCCUGUUCUAGUGCUCUCUCACCCUUUCUGGCACAGCCACACUGCAAGCCCAGGAACUCAUGUGUAUGCAUUAGCCAAGCAGCUGAGCAGUCAAUAUCCCUGUGAUGAACCUGUCAGAAAAGGAAGAAUAGGGCAGGUUUAUAGCCUUGCAGGAUUUGGCUGUUGCAACAAGUGAGAGUGCUGGGAGCUACCUGCCUUGCACUGGGCAAGACUCAGCCCAGUUGUCCCCACUGCAGUGACACUCCCAAUUAGGAGGUAUUUCACUGUGGUGGUGUUGCACCAGAGUGAGUCCCUGCCAGUCAGCAAAGCUGCAUAGCCCAAAAUCACACUUUGGUUGGAGUGCCAUCCAGAACUGGAGUGCAGGUACACCUGGAAGGGAGAAGGACAGCAAGGAUGUUUUGUGACAGCCAUGAGCUCCGUUACAAAAUAAACUUUCUAGGUAAAGGGAUUUCUAGAUACAGAUUCAUGGAUAGAUUAACUCCUUUGAUAACAAUUUAUACUUCAUUGAUCUUGCUACAUUUUAAUGACACUGAGGCUAAAUACACCCUGCUAGAAAAAUUAUGUGUGAUUGUGUGAGAGUCGGUCCGAAGAUGGAGCAGUAUUUGCUUGAAGAUCGCCAUCAAGAACGUAGAGAACUGAAGUCCUGACAGAAAGAAUGCAUGGACAAUGACUUGGAGAGAAGCCCGAGAAGAAGCAUUGUGUUGCACUGUUUCUCCGAUUCAGGGGGGUGCUACUAACAAUGGCUGCUGUGUGGACUUUGCCUGCUGCUUCAGCCAAACGAGCCCCAGCCUUCUGAAAGCUAUUGUUAUGAGGUUCUCUCUGACAAUAGCUGCCGUCCAGAAGAAUGCGUUCUCACCUGCAGCCUCAGUAACAUGUGUCCCUCACCUGCUCCCUCAAACAAUGGCCAGCGAAAAGGAACCUGCCCAGAAGCUUGCCAAGGGUCCUGAGGUCACCCAAUGGACCAGAAAAAGACCCCUGAAUGCUGGACACGUAAGCAUUGGCAAAAGAAAGCAUGAAUCUUUCGAGCCUGUGCAGUACGAGCCUGGGUUACGAAAUCAAGGCGGAGACUGGCCUAAAACAAUGAGAGCAAGGGGGGGCGAAGAAGCAUAAAAGAUUACUCCAGAAUGGACAUUUUGGAAGAUCUUUCCACCAGAGGAUCCCGAACCAUGACGGAGGACCGUCAGGACUCCAUGGGACCGGAGACCAGAGGGACGCUUCUCGAACCGGACUGGUGAUAAAUGCAACCUCAUUUUCUCAUCUUUACUCUUACUUUUUCCCUGUUUCUUUUCCCUUUUCUCUUUCUUACUCUCUCUCUCUAUCACGUGCCGCUUUACAGGCAAAUUAAUAAAGUAACACUGUUUGACUGAAUUAUAACCCCUUGGCAUUUUGGUUGCCUUAAUUUUGCGCUCUGAGAUCAAGGUAAAAGAACCAUCACAAGUCCAUCAUCAAAUGGACCGUGACAGAUUGAUAGAUAUAUCUAGGUUUAUAGAUAGCCUUUUUUUUAUUAAAAUAAAACUUUUUUUUUUUUUAUAUAGCUUGAAGUUAUUAGUCCUAAAAUUUUCAUAAAUGAAAAAAUAAUGCAAGCAGACAAACACACAGACACAGAUCUGCAUAUGAAUGUGUACCAGUUACACACACCCUGAUAAGGUCUGGAGCUUUCAAUAUGGGAGCUACUGACCAUUUCACACCUUUUGUACCCCACUGUGGCUGUCCUCACAUUUGCACCUAGGUUGGAUGUUAACUGUCCUGUCCUCCUCCUGGGACACGGUGACUCCAGUCAUGUACAUCCCCUUGGCUGGGGAAGCAGGAGGGGCAGGACCUCGGUCAACAGACAGGAUCCUCAGCCAACAAAGUGCCCCGGGCCCAGAGGAACUUCUGAACUGUGCUCAUAGUGACCACAGCCAAAUCCAACCAGGCUAAAAAAAAGAGGCCCCCACUGAAGACCCCCUUGGAGCGGUCUUCUCAGAGCAUAAGGACUAUGAUUGGAGCCCUCUACUUAAACAGAGACACUAUUUAAGGAGACUUCACAGGAUUGAGAGCCCUCACCUCCUCCUUGGAGAGUGAUUAUUUCUCCUGGGUAUAUGAGAUGAGCACUUGCCACCUUCCCCAGUCAAGCAAUUAUUUCUUUUGGGUACCCUCGAAUGAGAGAGGCCUCUUCUUUUGAGUGAGUGUAUGCACGCUGUGGUCAUCAUUCCUGUGUUCUCUUGUAGUAAUAAUAUCCCAAGCUGAUAUAUCCAACCUGCAGUUUGUUAAAAGAUUUUGUAGUGCUGAUUGAUUUUGAAUUACCAUCCCCUCCCCAGCCUAUUGUCUUCUGUCUUUUGGUUGCAAAUUAAAGUUGAUUUAAGAUUAUCAUUUCCCUGAAGUCCUCUUGGGGUGCCUCUGUGACAGUUCACUUUCUCACACGAUACUGCAAUAGCUACAUGUAAGCUAAAAAUUCUUACAGAUAACUUUUUCAUCGACAUUGAAAUAUGUAUACCUCCAUAGAAUAGAAAGAGGACCUUUUUCUCCUUGUCAUUGAACAACAACAAGGAGGGCCAAAGAUACAGGCAUCUCCCAGCCUGCAAGUGAACCUGAUAGUACUGACCAUGCCCCACCAGGAGGACCCAUGGCGGCAUCCUGCGCUAUGUGGGAUUAGAGUACUAUUUAUACUAUCUUUUUGAGACAAUCUGGUCUGCUACAGCAGAAACUAUUUCAUGCUACCAGUUCUGAUUUUGUUUUGACUUUUGUUGCUUCUCAGAAAACACUGCCUUCCACAUCAGUUUUAAAUUCUGACCUCUUCUGUACCCAAAAUAAUAUUCUCUCAAUCUUUUUGUGAAAUACUUUAACCUCUUUAUCACAACAAUAAGUCCCAUCUCUAAAUUUUCAUAGCAGUCCUGUGGAUCUUUCCCUUAACUGUUCAUGUAUUAAAAUUUAUUACAGAGUUUUAGUACUGCACACUAAAAAUCUUCUGGUUUAUGUUUGGUUGAGCUGCAUAUGCUACAUUUCAACCACAUUUUUUAAUUGUUGCACUGAACUGUAGAUACUUAGGAGAGCUGAUCACACAUGCUUUCAGAAUUUAGUGUCCCUUUCAAAGUAUUUGCACUUUGGUUUAAAUCCAGCUGUUUGUUAUUUUUUCUUUUUCUUUUUCUUUUUUUUUUUUUUGGUAAGUGUGUUUUUCUCAUUUAUAGAUAUAAUAACAAACUUGGGUUCAAAUGGCUUGUAUCUAACCCCCUUUUUCCAGCUGAAGGUGUUUUUUGGUCAGAUGUGUCACAGGAUCACUAAAAUUGCAACUGCAGUUAACAAAUAGCUAAUGAAUAUACCCAUCACACUUCCUCUGUCUGUCCUCAAGAAAUGCUGGCUUUCUUUAUAGCUCUGUAUUUAAAUUAAGCAUCAGUUUAAAUGAACCUCAGUUUAGGUAUACAUAUAGGAUUUCAAUAAUAAAGCAAAAAAUGCAACAGUUAAGGUAUUAUCAAAACAGUAAGAAAUAAAAUCAAGGAAAGAUAAACUAAUAAAGAUUGGGCACACUAGGGCCUUUUGCUUUGCUAUUAUGUAUUUUUCCACAAUACAUCAUGCAAGGAAAAUGCAGUAUGUAAUCAGAGUAGAGGUAGAAGGAAUGAAGGCCAUGCCACGCUUUUUUUGAAAAUGAUAUAAUUUCUGCCUGACUGGUAGUCGUGCUUUGAAGGUUAAUUAAAGUUUAUGAAGCACAUCAAGACCUUUGGAUAAAAGGCACGGUGCUAUGAACUUGGAAAUUUGUAAUUUCCAGUACUAAAGAGUGGAAGGCUAAAAUACAAAUGCUUUUGUCUUGACAUGUCAUCUUUGGUUUGGUUGGCAUGAAUUCUGUGUGUAGAUUUAUCCACAAGGAAAUACAAACAGAUUUGUGAUUUCUUUUUGUUUUAACAGAGCUUAUGUGAGAGAGAAUAUUUGUAGUGAUAUGAAGGUAUUGUUGGUCUGAAAUGCCACAGUAACCUUCUCUUUGAAUUUAAAGUAUGUAUUGACUCCAUAAUUUAUUUCAUAUUCUGUUUUUUAUCCCCUUCAAAAUGUGUCAAUGAAAUAGAUAAUAGGUAUUAUUAUUCAGCAAAAGUUCAUACUAGGCUAUAGCAAGUUCUCAGAUGUAAUUUUUCAUGUUGUUUUAAAUAUUCUUAUUUUCUUAUCUGGAUAUACUUUCAAAGGCUUUUUCAGCAGGGAAGUUGCAAGAAUCACACGUGACUGUGACUGAAGCCACGUUUACUUAUGUUUUUAUAAACAAAUCAUACAAGACACAGUAUUGUAGGUAGUCUCACGUACAUUAGUUAGGCUGUGCAAACUCAGCAUAUAAAAAGUUUGAUGUGUUCAGAAAUCAUGUAGCUGAGCGUUGUUUUUAUAUGACUCAACUUGUAAAUGCUUAGACUUAGAAACCACUCUAUUCAGUUAAGCUCAUGUUUCACUAUUGUUUUUGGGGACAAAAGCUCCUGUGAUUUUAAUUUUUAAGUGUUGACAAUUUAUAUCUCACAGUACCUGGCUGCUUAAGGCAGCCUGGACUGGGUUCAAACCAGUCAGUUUGGUGUUACAUGCAUCUCUUACAUAAUUAUAGAAAAUCCUUUUCAAUACAGAAGGUAAAUCAGUGGUAAAGAUAACCUCUCUGAAUACACUAGAUUGACAGAGACAAAAUUAAUAAAAUUCAGUAUAAUAAGGUCGAAUUUUGAUUGCAUCAUGAUAUAAUCCCUGACUGUGACGAUAAGACAUACAAAUGAACUUCUCUUGGUGGCUUGUUGAAUGAGAACGCAAUUAUAUUACUGAAAAUCAUUGUAUUCAAAAAUAUUAGUGUAGUGUAGUCUUCUUACUUGUAGUUGCCUUUCUUAAUUAAUUAUAAUAGUAAAUGUAAUGUUUCUUUUGUCUUCACAGUUUUACUGUUUUAUUCAUUUUUAUCUUUAUGGUGUAGUAAGUGAGCCUUCAUGGAUCGCAAGUCUAGAAUGGAUCACUUUGCUUCUUGAUGAUUAUACUGUUUGCUUUAGUUGAAUAAUUUUAUAUAUAUAUAUUCUAAAUUAAUCUUUACUAUUAGAUGCACUUUAAAUAUAAUUUAAUAAAUCCUUUAUACAGUGUGCAUGUUCCUCUAUCUGAUACAUUGCUUGUGAGCACUAGUUAAAAUACUUAGCCAUUUAAUUUUGCUUUUUUUUUCUUUUCUUACUUCUUUUUAACUUAUUUUCAUUUUUGUCCUUAUCUAAUUCCUCUCCCUAUGGAAUUUACAAACUAAUAAUUUAAAUAAAAUUGAAUUAAAUAGUAAAAUCUUCCUUAAUCACCAAUAUUUCCAGUUUUAUCGUAAGUUUGUAUACAGUCACUUUAGUGUACAUAUUUUGCAAAAAAAUAAAUGAGAAAACGGUGCCACACACAUAGUGUCUGUCUUAUGUGUUUAUAAAUCCUACUUGCCCUGUUGUAAACGUGAUCCAAAAGCACCUCUCAGUUGCUGAACAGAGGAUGUUGGAUUUGGAGACAUGUUGCUGGAAGAUGCCACCAUGAGUAUAUGGCACAAAUGAACAUACUGAGCUCUAGGAUGGAUCUUGUCAUGGGUAACUGUACCUUUGAAGGUCUUGCUAGUCAUACAUGCUACCCACAUUUCUUGGGAAAGACUAGAGUACAGCCUAGAGUAGCUCAGAAUGUGGUCCAAUAGGACAUAUAGAUAAGCAACUAAAUUGGCUUUAAACUCACCUCCAAAGCUCCAACCCACAAAGCUUUGAAGGUUGUUUCCUACAUUGUUUCAUGGUGUGUGAUUCAAGAAAAUACUCCAUGUGAUGAGUAAGGAUAUCCACACAUGUGGGUAGGGUUUGACUGGCUAUCAACUUAAAGAGAUGUCAAAUAUUGUGAAUACUUCAGUUUUAUCUCUACUCAGCAGAGGUGUAAGUGUUCAACUGUGUUUUUCCUUGUAGCCUAUAGAUGUGAUGUUAGUUUAGGCCAAGGGCUGCCAAGUGUUAGCACUUGUGUUUUAAGAGGGUAACGUGAUAAUAGCUGGUGAUAUAGUGAAGAGAGAGUCUUUCAAUUUGUUACUUUGAAGAAGUUUGAUGUAAUACAUUCUGUGCUUUCUAACGUAUGGAGAACCACAUUUUCAACUGAUCCCACUUUUAAACAGAACAUAUAUUUUAUGUCAGAAAUAGCCACUAUUUUUUGUACUAUUUUUCUCCCUGUUGAUUACACUAUAAAACCAAUUUUUAACCUAUAAAAUUAUGGUUAUAUUCGGUGUAACUCAAUAUCUUUAGGUUUUUCUGUCUUUACUCUUCAAGCUGUAGUGUCCUGUUAAAUAAAAUUGAAGUGUAUUCCAAGUUUUUUCUCUAUUCUAUUCUAAAUAGGCUCAUAAAUUUAACUGAAGCAAAAAUUCAGAAUUCCAUCAUAUCUACUUCUCUGGAUAAGACCUCUUUGCCAGUAAUAUGGAGUUAGUCAUGAUAUUUCUCCACUAAAAUUCUGACUCCAUGUUGAGAAGAUUUUUUUAAUUUGAAAUUUGCUGUUAAUAUGAAACAUUUUGUAUUUUAUAUUAAGGUGUCUGGCCUCCAAUCUGAAAUUUUUAAGAAGUCCCAGAAAAGAUAGUAAGACCUUCCCCUGUUAUCAAAUGCCACCGUCAGAAGUUCUCUCACAGUGAUGGAACCUCAAGGACUCUCUCUUUUUACUCAUACAGCUUGUACAGCUAUACCAUCUGGCUUAAUGUCAUUUUUCACCUGAGGCAUCAAGCUAGGUUCAAGGAAAAUGCUUGGAGAAACUUCAAAACUUCAUAUUGGGUGAGGCUCUGUGCUAGAAAUUUGAAUUCAAGUGCCUGGAUUUUUACUUUGGCUCCACAGCCUUCAAAGAAGAACUCAUUGAACUUGUGAUCAGGAGUCCAAUCUCUGCCAUGGAAUGCAGUGCACAGGUCUUCAAAACAUGUGGAGCCCUGCCCACCUGGAUACCCCUGCCCACCUACUGACCUUACAGCCUGCACUGUCAGCAUAUGUAAACCAAUCUUAGAGUUCAAGGGAAAUGGAGCAGAACCAACAAUUUCACAGCCAGAACUGGUGUGGAUUACAAAGCUGCUUACAGGGUUAGCCUUUGAUCACUUGUAGUUCAGCAAGUUUCAUGCUUCCUUUCUACUAUUUGCUCUUUUAUUUAAUGGGUGACUUGUCACUGAGAUGUACAGCUCCAGAUAUUUCUGCAUGGAAUUUUUCCAUUCCCAAGCUCUGUUGAAGGAUGUCCUGGACUACAUCUUUGCAUGUUGUUCUCAAUUGCCGGCCAGUAUUGUAGGACAACCUUUCAGUAAUUUUGUUUUUCAAAAUUCCUCCUUUUAGGAAUCUCACAGUUUUUGAAGCUGUAGUGCCAGGAACCAGACUGCAUGAGGAAAUAGGUGCUUACUUGAAGAGAAAGAUUGAAAGAUUUUGAGAAGUAGUCUCCACAGCAUUACAUAAGCAACAGCAUCAAAGGACAUAGAGCUAUAGGGGACUGCAAGAGAGUGUCUAAAUCCUGCAGCAGUAUCAGAACACACAACUGACUUCUCAGCUCAGUCUAUAACGUAUUAAUCUACAGAGGUCUCUCUUACAGACUCUGAGGUUUUCCCACAGGUAACUCAUCUUCCCUAAGAGGUGAUUGACAAUCUGUCCCUAAAAUUCCCAUAACGCAGGUUCCAUACAUCCCUUGUUAAACCAGUCUGAUUUCAUUGUAGUGUAAUAGAGUUCGUGAUGUCAUCAUUACUCUGAUAUCAGGCCCUGAAUAUGCUGAAAGCCAUAAUAAGGAAGCUGUAUUUAGGGUAGAACAUUUUAAUUCCUUUAAGUGAAUAAGUGCUUUUUUUGCCCAGGUUCAUUAAUUCUUUUCCAAAGAGUAUAUACUAGGGAAUCACAGUCUCCUUUUAUCUGAUUGCCUAACACCAGCUCUGCUGGAUCCUAAAUUUUCCUUGCAUCCCUGUCAUCCCUGAAUUUUCUGAUGAGCCCAUACAUCAAGGCCUGGAUGGGAUCAUAGUUUUAUAGUUAACAUCUUGGUGAAACUUGCAGAAAUAAGCACUCACAGACAAUCAGAUGACCAUUUUUAUUUACACAGUUGACCAUUUUUAUUUGUUUCCUAAUUUUCUUUGGCAAUACUUAUGUCCCCAGUGCAAAUGUAAAUACAGAAGAGAGUAUCUCUGGAACCUGACUUGUCAAAAGAUUUCUUAAAUGAAGAUGUUGUUAACAUCCUACAGAAAAAGCUAAACAAAUAAGGAUGUGUUGAAGCACUGUGAGAAAGAAAACUAUCUAAACGUAUAAAUGAGAAUAUAAUAUUACACCACCAAUAUUCAGGUACUAUAAAAAUAUUUAAUGUUGUAGCAAAGUAUUUUAAAUAUGUCAUGGGACAUCUACCAAAAGAUUGCUUGGCAGUGAACAAACAAAUUGAAAGAAAAUUAAACUUGCGUGCUCAUUCAAAAGAUUAUAAAAUUAGGUCUUUUGCGUGUUCAACUGUGGAGACAUAUUUUAUUAGUAUAUUUCUCUACAGAGAAUAUGAAAUUAAUCUUAAGAGACGAACAAAAUUCACAUGGAUGCAUGUGAUCUGUUGGGACAAAAUAGUGAAUUGAAAGUGAAGAUUAUGGGUAUGAGUUAUGUUCCUGAUUCUGGGGUAACUACACAUGUUAUUCUACCAUUUGUUUUCCCAUUCAGUUCCCUGGGUUUCAAUGCAAUGACUUACAGAAAAAAAAAAAUCAGUUAAACCUGAGGAACUGUGUUAGAUUUUGGAUUGGAAUUUCUCUUAGCCUCAACCUGUUAGACUUUAAGACAGAAUUAACUUUGUUCUUUAUUUUUGUGAAGACAGAAUGCAAAUUUUUUAUUUAUGAACUCCUGCAGAAAUAUUUGGUUUAUGCAAUACCGUACCAAAAGGCGUAAAUUGUUUGGAUGGUUCUUGUCAAAAUAGACUAUACAUUAUGUAGAGAUUCAUAUAUCACUUUUAAGUGCAGUUUUGGGGUUUUUUGCUUCACAGAUUUUCCCAGCUCAGAAGAAUAUCUAGAUCUUAUAGUAUUGUAGCAUGCAGACAGUGAACCAGACUUGUUUGUCUCACUUUACCAAAAGACAUUUUAAUAAAUCUGUCUCUGGACAUGUCUUCAUAUAACUUGAGGAUGGCAUGAACAGCAACAUAUGAGUGCAACAAAACAAGAAGGAUGUAUGAACUACCUAAUGUGAAUUAUAUAUAGAUUAAAAAAAAGAAUAAAGAGACUGUGAGAAAGAGAGAGGAGGCAAAGGAUGAUGACAACAAUCCUGGAAGUCUCUGCACAAGAAGAGGCCCCUGUAUCCAACCUAGCAGGCAAAAAAAUUAGCAGCACUAGAGGUGAGUCAUCCAACCUUCUCUACAGGGUUGGCUUCUGUGCAUAUGUAGGCAUGAGUGUGCAUUUGUGACAUAUGCAAACAGAUCUACCUCACACUGUGGGUCCAGAUAUGACAGCAGUCACUGAAUAUGCUCCAAGACUGAGUAUCACUGAAGAAAAGUUAUUAUAUCUGUUCUGUAUGUCAGACUCAUAAUGACAUCCUGAAAUGUGUUAAACUCCAAGUGAAAGUUGCAAAUGGUUAAGUCCAUCAAAACCAGAAUAAGUUACAAAUCUUACAGUCAAAUAGAAGUGUUCAAUUUUUUAUCUCUGUGAAGUCUGGGAAAAGAGUCUGGUGGUUUGGGGGAGGGCAGUGAAACAAAUGUAGUUAUUAAAAAUAUUAUGUUUUGCUUUUGGACCAAAUCUUCAUGAUCAGACAUAUUUUAUUAAUAAUCUUGUGUUAGAAAGAUAGAUCAAACUCUUAAUAACGGUUUUAAGACAGAUUUUUUUUUUUAUUGUAUUUCAGCUAAAAGGUUAAGCCUUGUGUCUUUUUAUAGGUUUUAUAGCUCCUAGUUAAAAAUACAUAUACCACUUCUAACCAUAAGCGAGAAAAAGGAACACUCUAAAAAGUGCUUUACAGCUACAAAUCCUCAAAUAACCAACAUUUAACACUACCAAAAAGAAAGAAGAGAGCCAAUUUCAGCUCACAGGACAGUGAACUAAACCAAGAAACUCUGUCAGUGAGUACUGUGGCUAGAAGAGCCAGGAGAAGGACUUUCAGAGACAGCACUCACCUAUGUAGAGUGCUGCACAUCAAUCACCUUGCAGGUAAGAUCAAAGACAGUCUGAGCUGAGUUCCUGGUAUAGCCUGCUCCCCCCAGGAAGAGAGAUUCAGUUCUUACACUUUCAGGUGAAUGAACUUAAGGAAUUAAUAGGUCAUUACAGUCUCUAGGCAGUGGGAGUCUAACACCGGCUGGUACUCCAGGUUGGCAAGCUUUGUGAUGAGUGAUCGUGAAUAAAGAGCCUGUCUGAAACUUUUAGGCAGGUGACACUGACCAUUUCAGGAAGAGUUUUUCUUAGAGGCAUGAAAGCUUGUUUUUUAUUCCAUGCUGUUCCUAAAUUCUCAUUCUCCUCUCACCGGAAAGGUGCAUACAAAUUAUGCAGACAUAACCCCAAUAAUAUUUGGCUGAGAAGUAUUAUUCACAGAAAACUAGUGUCCUAUAGAGUAAUUUGGUUCAAAAACACUUUCAGGGUUCAGUGACUUUCUACAUAUGUCAUACUUGCUGUCGUGAAGUAUCAAAUAACUAAUCUUCAUUGUAAUGCUACUCAGCAAACGAGAAGUUAACAUUUGAUUUGCCUUUGGAAACUACUAAAGUGUAAUGACAUUAUACAUAUACUAAGACUGGCCUUUUAUUUCUGAUGAAGUGUACAAAUCAUUCCAGCUUCAUCUUAUGCUGCUUGAUUAAAAUAAGUGGUCUACUACUACACUGGUGGAUAUAAUUUAUUUCAUCUGUUGGAAGCGAAGAGAUUAGCCAUCCUUCAAAUUUUCUUAUCUGGAAAAAGCCCUAGUUUCAUUACUACAAUCCCACAUGCACAUUGUGUUAGGAAACUGAAGAAAUAUACUCUACCCUGCAAACAAAAAGCCUGCAUAAUUUGGUAGGCAGUGAGGACUUUAGUCUUAAUUCCUACCUGUUCCCAGGGUGCUUGUUUAUCUAAAGAAAUCUAAAGUGUCUGGCCACACCUGGAAGCAUCUGGUUUCCAUUCUUCAUUCCACAUAUUCUUACAGUAACUAACUUAAGUCUGGGAGAGAUGUUGUUCUCCUUUUACAGGUGAAAGAUUAGGGUUCAGGGAUAGCGAGUGUCACGGAGGCACCCCGAGGUUAGUUUAAGGGACAACAGGGUCCAAAACAACUUUUAUUAAACCGGUGAGAAACAGGGUUUUAGCACUCCAAAAGUGACUUAAAUACAGGUUCGGAUAUCAGUUGAGGAAAAUUAUUAAGGGGCAGCAACUAAUACAACAGGUGGUCCACAGAGUGCAUGCACGUGGCUUCACUCAAAACAAUGCUGGAGCCAUCCCUGAAUCCCGGAGAAGUACACACUUGCCUAAACACGGUGUGGGAUUAUUUUUAAAGAGAUACACGUACUCGUAGUGAGUAUGGGAAGUAUACACUCGUGAUUCUGCAAGGGUAAAUUUAUAAUACACUUGCAGUCCUGCGAGGGCUAAUUUACUUACACGUGCAAAUGUGCACGGAAUAUUACACGUGCUUAUGUGGAAGCACGGGAGAAAAAUACACUCGCGAUUGUGCGAUGAAAUAAUUUAUACACGUGCUUGUAUUAAGCACGGAAAGUACGCAUGCAAAUGUACAUGGGAAGUUACAUGUGCAAAUGUGCACCGAAGGAAAAUACACCCGUGAUUCUGUAAGGAUUAAUUUUACACGUGCUCAUAUGGAGCAUGGAAAGUUACACGUGCAUAUGUGCACGAAAAGUAUAAAUAUACUCGCAGUCCUGCGAGAAGUUUUACUCACAUCCGUGGCGGCAAGGCAAGCGCAGUCUCCAUCCCGGGGAGGGGGACUCUCGGUGACAGCAUCUUGCUUGUGCUCCGAGAGACCCGCGACAAUGGGUGGAGUCUCGACAAGAAUCCCGUUUUUAUACUGGCUGAUCAGAUCUGACUGUAGGCAUUCUAGAAGCUUCUCUGCACCCCCACACUGGCUGUGGGUGCCCCUGAAGCCUCCAAACAUCCCCCAUACUGGCCACAGGUGCCCAGUGGCUCACUGGCGCCUCGUCACUCCCUUCUCCUAAUGGCCCUGGCCAGGGUGCUCUGGGGCCAAACAAAAGAAGCUGUUAGCCCCAAGUAGCAGAGAGAGAGGGAGAUGUGCUUACUCCUUCCAUACUGAAGGAGGGAGGAGGAGAGAGGGGGGUUUGCAUUCUGCCACAGCGAGUGAUUAACUGAAGUAACAGAUUAUGUUGCAAACAGGGGCUUGAACUCUGCUCCACAGGGUCCAAAGUCUACAUACUGAAUUAACCAUAAAAUAAAUAAUUUGUCUCUAAAUAGGAUAAAUAAACUAUCAUGCUAUAGCCAGCUGGUACCAUAAUAUAAAAAAAAAAAAGCUAACAGUUCCAGGACAAGAUGUGUAUCUGAAUUAUUAUGAUUAAUUUUAUAUUUAUACUGCUUUCUUACUAACAUUUAGGCAUAUAUUUAUUUUGUAGAACUUUCUAGCACAUCACAAAAUCCUUGGGUUGAAAGGGUUUUAGAGGGUUACACAGUCUAUCUCACUGGUCCAAAGCAGAGUUUACUGCACUUUCGCUACCUCUAGAUAAACAUUCACGUCAGACUUCCACUAGUGCAUAUUCCACAGCAUUUCCAGUAACCUGUUCUCAUACUUUACUACCUUUACAUUACAAAGGUUUUCCUGGUAUCUACCCUGAACCUUCCUCACUGUAUUUUAAGAUUCUUCCGUUUACUGUGAACAUGAAGAAUGUUUUAUUCUGUCUCUUAUUGUAAAUUUAUGUAGUGAUUUGUAUACUAGUAACUGCCACGUUCUCCCUCCAGGCUCCUUGUUUUUAGGCUAAGCAACGCAAAUUAAUUAAAUCAUUAACACCUAACCACAUAACUGUCCUUGCUGAUCUGCUGUGGACUUAAUACUUUGGUCCCACACCCUUCUGGAAUGUAUUCCAAGGCAGAUGUCAGUGGAGAUAAGUAAAGAGGAAGGACUUCACAGGCUAAUAAAUAAAACCCCUGCUCAAUACAGAAUGCUACCUGUCUGUCUAUCUAGAUAGCUAUACUUUUUCUUGAGUAAUAUUUUUUGCCAUUUUGAAUGCCAGCCUGUAAAUUCUGCUGCAUGACAGAAAAAAUUGUGGGAGAUGAGGGUUUGUGAGGAGAAAAACUGUCUUGUGUAUCAUUCACUUACAAGGCUGGGUGGGUCCCGCUCACAUUUUUUAUCGGCAUUUAAGCCAGUGUUUGCACAAAUACAUCUUUGUUUCCAAGGCCUCAAGCAAUUUGAAAUUAGCCUCUGUGACUGCUAGCUCUGGAAACUAACCAAGGAAAUGGUUCUUUCUAAAAAUCUAAUAAUGCAAUGAAACCUAAAGUGUCGGGAAUAUUUUAUACAUGAUACUAUGCCUCGCUGUGUUAUUUAUCUUCAUGGAUACUAUACAUUGCUCUUAUGUUAUCCCUUUCAGUAUUGCAAAGAUAAAUGCCUCAGCACUACAGUUCAUUAUGUAUUCCCUCUCUAGGUAUACCUUAUAUAAAAUAGAGAUACAUUACCUAAACAUUGCUGAUGCAAGACAAUUUGGAAACAGUUGCCCAUUUUCUUGGAAAAGGGCUGGUAGCAGUGGCAGAGACCAAAAUCCACAGAGCCAGAGCCAUCCCUAAUCUAGAGAAGCUCAAACACUGGGCUCCUGCAACUUAAUAACAUAUGAGCCAAGGUGGGACCAUGAGAUUCACUGGUUCCCUGAGAUUUCCUUUGUUUCUGGUGUAUUGUCUUACUCUUUGGGAUGGAUGUUUUCCACAGUCUGAUUAGAAUUUUAUUUUUUUUUUUUAAUGGAGAACAGUAUUGAAAAAAUACCAAGUAUGUACCAGCAGGUCUUUGAUGCUUCCCUGCAAGUGGAAAGUGCUGGAAAUGGAGAGAAAGAGUGAUAGGUCAGAUAGCUGCAGAGACCAGUUGUCUCCUGGAAUACACAGUUAGCUAACUCCUUCAGAGGUAUGUGGACCAAAUCAAGAAGAUGAUGGACACAAGAAAUGGAGAAUGAUGAGAAGAAAGUGCAGCAAUCAUCUAUAUUUGGGACAACAGAGCUAAAAGUUUGUCAAGGUAUAUGUAUGCAUGUCACAUGCUACUAAUAAAAGUGAAGAGUGCUUUUAAAUUCA
Molecule: long non-coding RNA, 15073 nt
Organism: Columba livia (rock pigeon)
Lineage: Eukaryota; Metazoa; Chordata; Aves; Columbiformes; Columbidae
Exons: 6
Source: RefSeq, a predicted model, not a curated record